This 72-nucleotide transfer RNA is filed under the name Camelus bactrianus (Bactrian camel). It matches the Rfam family "tRNA". From Rfam's summary of the family: Transfer RNA (tRNA) molecules are approximately 80 nucleotides in length. Their secondary structure includes four short double-helical elements and three loops (D, anti-codon, and T loops). RNAcentral also lists the same sequence under 1 other name. Lineage: Eukaryota; Metazoa; Chordata; Mammalia; Artiodactyla; Camelidae. The record is from Rfam by way of RNAcentral.
UCCCUGGUGGUCUAGUGGGUAGGAUUUGGUGCUUUCACCACCGCGGCCCGGGUUCGAUUCCCAGUCAGGGAA